This 253-nucleotide ribosomal RNA is filed under the name uncultured bacterium. RNAcentral describes it as "partial 16S ribosomal RNA". It matches the Rfam family "Bacterial small subunit ribosomal RNA", at positions 524 to 776 of the family's 1533-position model. The record is from RNAcentral.
UACAGAGGGGGCAAGCGUUGUUCGGAAUUACUGGGCGUAAAGGGCGCGUAGGCGGCCUGUUAAGUCGAACGUGAAAUCCCCGGGCUCAACCCGGGAACUGCGUCCGAUACUGGCAGGCUUGAAUCCGGGAGAGGGAUGCGGAGUUCCAGGUGUAGCGGUGAAAUGCGUAGAUAUCGGGAGGAACACCUGUGGCGAAAGCGGCGCACUGGACCACAACUGACGCUGAGGCGCGAAAGCUAGGGGAGCAAACAGG